Molecule: long non-coding RNA, 163 nt
Organism: Mugil cephalus (flathead mullet)
Lineage: Eukaryota; Metazoa; Chordata; Actinopteri; Mugiliformes; Mugilidae
Exons: 2
Source: RefSeq, a predicted model, not a curated record
GGCUGUUGAAGCUAAAGUGGACUCUCUCAUUUGUCUUUUCAGGGAACAAGACACAGAUGGAAGAAAACACUGUGCAGAAUGAUGGAGGUGAAGGUGAAGGUUCAGUGAUCUAUGAAAACUCUGGAGACCCUUCUGCUUCAGUCAGACUCCACUGAUCAACAAC